UGCCCAUAAGACUGGGAUAACUCCGGGAAACCGGGGCUAAUACCGGAUAACAUUUUGAACCGCAUGGUUCGAAAUUGAAAGGCGGCUUCGGCUGUCACUUAUGGAUGGACCCGCGUCGCAUUAGCUAGUUGGUGAGGUAACGGCUCACCAAGGCAACGAUGCGUAGCCGACCUGAGAGGGUGAUCGGCCACACUGGGACUGAGACACGGCCCAGACUCCUACGGGAGGCAGCAGUAGGG
RNAcentral lists this ribosomal RNA (239 nucleotides) under Bacillus anthracis (anthrax bacterium). RNAcentral's name for it is "partial 16S ribosomal RNA". It matches the Rfam family "Bacterial small subunit ribosomal RNA", at positions 127 to 359 of the family's 1533-position model. The record is from RNAcentral. Lineage: Bacteria; Bacillati; Bacillota; Bacilli; Caryophanales; Bacillaceae.